This 742-nucleotide ribosomal RNA is filed under the name uncultured bacterium. RNAcentral describes it as "bacterial SSU rRNA". It matches the Rfam family "Bacterial small subunit ribosomal RNA", at positions 94 to 823 of the family's 1533-position model. The record is from RNAcentral.
AGCGGCGGAUGGGUGAGUAACACGUGGGGAACCUGCCCCUAAGUCUGGGAUACCAUUUGGAAACAGGUGCUAAUACCGGAUAAUAAAGCAGAUCGCAUGAUCAGCUUUUGAAAGGCGGCGUAAGCUGUCGCUAAGGGAUGGCCCCGCGGUGCAUUAGCUAGUAGGUAAGGUAACGGCUUACCAAGGCGACGAUGCAUAGCCGAGUUGAGAGACUGAUCGGCCACAUUGGGACUGAGACACGGCCCAAACUCCUACGGGAGGCAGCAGUAGGGAAUCUUCCACAAUGGACGCAAGUCUGAUGGAGCAACGCCGCGUGAGUGAAGAAGGUUUUCGGAUCGUAAAGCUCUGUUGUUGGUGAAGAAGGAUAGAGGUAGUAACUGGCCUUUAUUUGACGGUAAUCAACCAGAAAGUCACGGCUAACUACGUGCCAGCAGCCGCGGUAAUACGUAGGUGGCAAGCGUUGCCCGGAUUUAUUGGGCGUAAAGCGAGCGCAGGCGGAAAAAUAAGUCUAAUGUGAAAGCCCUCGGCUUAACCGAGGAACUGCAUCGGAACUGUUUUUCUUGAGUGCAGAAGAGGAGAGUGGAACUCCAUGUGUAGCGGUGGAAUGCGUAGAUAUAUGGAAGAACACCAGUGGCGAAAGCGGCUCUCUGGUCUGCAACUGACGCUGAGGCUCGAAAGCAUGGGUAGCGAACAGGAUUAGAUACCCUGGUAGUCCAUGCCGUAAACGAUGAGUGCUAAGUGU